This 440-nucleotide ribosomal RNA is filed under the name uncultured bacterium. Its description in RNAcentral is "bacterial SSU rRNA". It matches the Rfam family "Bacterial small subunit ribosomal RNA", at positions 338 to 794 of the family's 1533-position model. The record is from RNAcentral.
CCUACGGGUGGCAGCAGCUGGGAAUCUUGCGCAAUGGGCGAAAGCCUGACGCAGCGACGCCGCGUGGGGGAUGAAUGCUCUCGAGUUGUAAACCCCUUUCAGCAGGGACGAAUCUGACGGUACCUGCAGAAGAAGCCCCGGCCAACUACGUGCCAGCAGCCGCGGUAAGACGUAGGGGGCGAGCGUUGUCCGGAUUUAUUGGGCGUAAAGGGUUCCUAGGCGGCUGAGAAAGUCGGAUGUGAAAACUCCAGGCUCAACCUGGAGAUGCCAUUCGAUACUUCUCUAGCUAGAGUCCGGUAGGGGCGUGUGGAAUCUCCGGUGUAGCGGUGAAAUGCUUAGAUAUCGGGGGGAACACCAGUGGCGAAGGCGGCACGCUGGGCCGGAACUGACGCUGAAGAACGAAAGCGUGGGUAGCAAACAGGAUUAGAUACCCCAGUAGU